Non-coding RNA from Hordeum vulgare subsp. vulgare (domesticated barley), 124 nucleotides. NCBI's taxonomy places the organism in Eukaryota, Viridiplantae, Streptophyta, Magnoliopsida, Poales, Poaceae. The record is from Rfam.
AUAGUACUCCCUCCGUCCGGAAAUACUUGUCCUAGAAAUGAAUAUAAUGAAUGUAUCUAUAACUAANNNAAGUCUAGAUACAUUCAUCUUUAGGAUAAUUAUUUCCGGACUGAGGGAGUAUAUG